CCUACGGGAGGCAGCAGUGGGGAAUAUUGCACAAUGGGGGAAACCCUGAUGCAGCGACGCCGCGUGAGUGAAGAAGUAAUUCGUUACGUAAAGCCCUAUCAGCAGGGAAGAAACACUGACCUUAUGGUCAGCAGACGGUACCUGAGUAAGAAGCCGCGGCUAACUACGUGCCAGCAGCCGCGGUAUUACGGAGGGGGCAAGCGUUAACCGGAUGUACUGGGUGGAAGGGGAGCGUAGGCGGGGCACCAAGUCCGAAGUGAAAUGCCAGGGCUUAACAACGGAAUUGCUGUUGAAACUGGCGAACUAGAGUACGGGAGAGGUAAGUGGAAUUCCUGGUGUAGCGGUAAAAUGCGUAGAGAUUAAGAGGAACACUGAUGGCGAAGGCGACUUGCUAGAACAUAACUGACGUUGAGGCUCGAAAGCGUGGGGAGCAAACAGGAUUAGAUACCCCGGUAGUC
This 458-nucleotide ribosomal RNA is filed under the name uncultured bacterium. RNAcentral describes it as "partial 16S ribosomal RNA". It matches the Rfam family "Bacterial small subunit ribosomal RNA", at positions 338 to 795 of the family's 1533-position model. The record is from RNAcentral.